Molecule: long non-coding RNA, 1568 nt
Organism: Poecile atricapillus (Black-capped chickadee)
Lineage: Eukaryota; Metazoa; Chordata; Aves; Passeriformes; Paridae
Exons: 3
Source: RefSeq, a predicted model, not a curated record
GUCACAAGUUGCCCUCCUGGCACAUCCCAGCACCCACCUUUGGCCGUGAACUGCGGCGUUUCCGUGCUGAGGUCCCAGAAGCGGACAGUGGUGUCUCCAGAGCCGCUUGCCAGGGAGCUUGUGCAGCGUGUCACCGCCCGCACCCUGAACACCGCCUGCGGCUGGUAGAUGAUGUCCAGGACCUUCUCUGUCUCCACGCUCUGCCCUGCCAGGGUCUUCUCCAGUGACGCCACGAUCUCGGCAUCGUGGACGAAGAAGGCCAGAGGCACCGGCUCGUCCUGCGGGAGACAGGGCAGGAUAUUCAUAUUCUGCUCCUGACCAGCUGCAGGGACUGCAUGAUCUCCAGCAAGGUCACAACAAACCCAGCAUGGACCAAGAUGGAAUAAAACAACAUACCUCCACAUUUUCCCUACCACCACACAAGGCAGAACCCACUUCCUCAGCUGCACACCACAGUCCCAGAAGCAACACCUUUCAGGCAAGUAAAUUCCCAGUUUUUAGCUCUCAUCACAGAAAAAUAAUUUGCAUUAUAUAGGAAUUAGUAGGGAAAAAAGCAUCUUAAAAUGAGAUGCCUCAAACAAAUUGUGUUCUUUACACAUCAUCUUUUGAGAUUUGUGACUCUGCUCUGGAAGAGAGAAAAAAAUUACACUCAAAUUCUUUUCUGAUUUCUCAAUAAGGACCCUAUGUUUUCAAAUUCUUUUUAGACAUCAGAAAGCAGCACUGCUUUGAUGACUAAAAUAUCAUUUUCCUUGUUUAAGUGACUUUGGGGCUGAGGUUAUGUAUUGUGGAGGCACAUGAUAAAUAACUACAUGAGAAAGACAAACAGCAAGAGAAAGGGAUGCAACAUGAGGAAACAGUUGGGCAAACAAAAGGAACCAAUAUGAAGAAAGAAGUGUUUCCUUUUUGCCUGCAGACUUGCACAAAUGAGGGAGGACUGAGUAGAUGCAAAGUAGAGAAACAUGUUACUGUGCAUGUAGCUCACUACCAAAAGGAAAUAUUUUAAUUUCAUUCUUACUUCCAGCAGCCUCUGAAGAGGUGGAGUCCAAAUGACAACAAAUCAGUUACAAGGGGAGGAACUCUAUCAAAUAAAUCCAAGAACAAAAGCAGUACAUUCCACAUAUAAAUCUCCACAAGUCUCUUGCAACCACUACUUAUGUCUUUUUAUGUAAUACAGGAUAUUUACCGUCCAUGGCAGGUUAAUUAUCAAUUCUCAGCCCCACCAUCCAAACUUUCUACAAUUCUUUUAAGGUGGGAUGAGAUGGGUGAGGGAAGAACUGGAAAUAGCAAUGUUCACUUAAUUUCUUAUGAUUACACAUGGAAGAACAGAAGCAACCUAUGCUCAUUGAGUACACAAUGAUUUUGAAGUCUCUUCAGCAGCUUUUUUAUUUUUAAACAAGUCAAACAAUACACAGCUCAAACUGACCAGCAGCAAGUUAACAUCAGCGAUACAUAAAACUUUCUUCCUUGCAACAUCGCAUCAUGCUUGCUAAGAACCUGAGAACUGAGGCAGCUCCCUGCACAAAAAUAUUCCCCAUUUCCCACCUUUUCAACCAAAGGGAACACACAGC